RNAcentral lists this long non-coding RNA (569 nucleotides) under Canis lupus familiaris (dog). Its description in RNAcentral is "lncRNA (ENSCAFG00845019690.1)". Lineage: Eukaryota; Metazoa; Chordata; Mammalia; Carnivora; Canidae. The record is from RNAcentral.
GUCCAAGCAAGAGAAAGGAAAUGCUUUUACCCUUCAAGUGCCUUCCUCUUUAGGUCCCUGAACUAGUCCUCAGGGACUCUGGAGCUGAUUAGGUUUGCCUGUGCCCAUAGGAACAUAGACAGAAUCGCCACCUUUGACUAUUCCUUCCUCAUUCACCCAAGGGAUCCAUAUCCCUUCCAUCCACUGUAUGGAAACAACAUACAGCUCCUGCUUUUCUCCAAGGUAUGCCUCUUCCCCAUAGAAAUUCUGUUUUGUUUCAUCUUAUGGUUUUUCAGGUCAGGGAAAAGUCGGUAAAAUACCUAUAUUCUUUGGGUUUAUGGUUCAUUUGAAGUAUUGUGCCUCAUUUGCUUGGUCUCUUCAAGAAAUUGCUCUGCGAAUGCCUUAUCAGCUUCACUCUCCACAGCACGUAAACCAGUGACUUGGGGCUAUUCCCUCCAGUGAGGCACCCUCCAGCCCCCGCUAGCUUUUUUUCCUUUCUUUUCUUUGUGUGUGUGUGUGGGGGGGGGGGGGGGGAAGGGGGGUGAAAUCAAACUUAGACUUUCCUUGAAGUUUUGAUAACAUUCUUAAAA